GAUGAACGCUGGCGGCGUGCCUAAUACAUGCAAGUCGAGCGAACAGACGAGGAGCUUGCUCCUCUGACGUUAGCGGCGGACGGGUGAGUAACACGUGGAUAACCUACCUAUAAGACUGGGAUAACUUCGGGAAACCGGAGCUAAUACCGGAUAAUAUAUUGAACCGCAUGGUUCAAUAGUGAAAGACGGUUUUACUGUCACUUAUAGAUGGAUCCGCGCCGCAUUAGCUAGUUGGUAAGGUAACGGCUUACCAAGGCAACGAUGCGUAGCCGACCUGAGAGGGUGAUCGGCCACACUGGAACUGAGACACGGUCCAGACUCCUACGGGAGGCAGCAGUAGGGAAUCUUCCGCAAUGGGCGAAAGCCUGACGGAGCAACGCCGCGUGAGUGAUGAAGGUCUUCGGAUCGUAAAGCUCUGUUAUUAGGGAAGAACAAAUGUGUAAGUAACUAUGCACGUCUUGACGGUACCUAAUCAGAAAGCCACGGCUAACUACGUG
Molecule: ribosomal RNA, 497 nt
Filed under: uncultured bacterium
Lineage: Bacteria
Description: partial 16S ribosomal RNA
Rfam family: Bacterial small subunit ribosomal RNA
Source: RNAcentral